Molecule: small RNA, 27 nt
Filed under: Bombyx mori (domestic silkworm)
Lineage: Eukaryota; Metazoa; Arthropoda; Insecta; Lepidoptera; Bombycidae
Description: ovarian small RNA-23122
Source: RNAcentral
UAGUUAUGUUCUGGAUGCCGGUGAUGG